AUUGAACGCUGGCGGCAUGCCUUACACAUGCAAGUCGAACGGCAGCACGGGAGCAAUCCUGGUGGCGAGUGGCGAACGGGUGAGUAAUAUAUCGGAACGUGCCCGGUCGUGGGGGAUAACGUAGCGAAAGCUACGCUAAUACCGCAUACGAUCUACGGAUGAAAGCGGGGGAUCGCAAGACCUCGCGCGAUUGGAGCGGCCGAUAUCAGAUUAGGUAGUUGGUGAGGUAAAGGCUCACCAAGCCGACGAUCUGUAGCUGGUCUGAGAGGACGACCAGCCACACUGGGACUGAGACACGGCCCAGACUCCUACGGGAGGCAGCAGUGGAGAAUUUUGGACAAUGGGCGCAAGCCUGAUCCAGCAAUGCCGCGUGCAGGAUGAAGGCCUUCGGGUUGUAAACUGCUUUGUACGGAACGAAACGGUGAGCUCUAAUACAGUUUGCUAAUGACGGUACCGUAAGAAUAAGCACCGGCUAACUACGUG
RNAcentral lists this ribosomal RNA (483 nucleotides) under uncultured bacterium. RNAcentral describes it as "bacterial SSU rRNA". It matches the Rfam family "Bacterial small subunit ribosomal RNA", at positions 30 to 507 of the family's 1533-position model. The record is from RNAcentral.